CUUGAAUUCCUAUAAGAGGUCCAGCCUGCCCAGUGACUUUGUUCAACGGCCGCGGUAUCCUAACCGUGCGAAGGUAGCGUAAUCACUUGUCUUUUAAAUGAGGACUUGUAUGAAUGGCAUCACGAGGGUUAUACUGUCUCCUUUUUCUAAUCAGUGAAACUAAUCUUCCCGUGAAGAAGCGGGAAUAAAUAUAUAAGACGAGAAGACCCUAUGGAGCUUUAAACUUUAUAACAAAUACUAACCUUACUUCAACUUCCAGAACAUUAAUCUUAAUUUUAGUAUCCUGUUUAUUAGUUUUAGGUUGGGGUGACCGCGGAGUAAAAAUUAACCUCCAUAUUGAAUAGGACUUGUCCUUGAGCUAAGAACUACAGCCCUAAGCACCAAUAAAUUGACAUUAAUUGACCCAAUAUUUUGAUCAACGAAC
This 424-nucleotide ribosomal RNA is filed under the name Osteocephalus leprieurii group sp. ABGD cluster 10. RNAcentral's name for it is "partial large subunit ribosomal RNA". It matches the Rfam family "Bacterial large subunit ribosomal RNA", at positions 1834 to 2439 of the family's 2925-position model. The record is from RNAcentral. Lineage: Eukaryota; Metazoa; Chordata; Amphibia; Anura; Hylidae.